Lolium rigidum is the source of this 383-nucleotide long non-coding RNA. RefSeq lists it as uncharacterized. The record is from RefSeq and is a predicted model, not a curated record. NCBI's taxonomy places the organism in Eukaryota, Viridiplantae, Streptophyta, Magnoliopsida, Poales, Poaceae. The transcript has 2 exons.
CACUCUUCCAACAGCCGCCGCCGCCGUACGAGGUAGCCGCGCCGAGGAGCGAGCGCCGCCGCCUCCGCGAUGAGGGCCAAGUGGAAGAAGAAGAGGAUGAGGAGGCUCAAGAGGAAGCGCCGAAAGAUGAGGCAGAGAUCCAAGUAGGAGGAGAAGCCCCGCCUGCUUCUGUUUCUUGACCGCUUUCCACCGCCGUGUUCUCAUCGAUUUUAGUUCAGUACUCAAUUUAGUUCUUGCCAGCAGGAAAACCCAUCCUAGUGGACUGUAUCUUCAAUUUCGAACCUAUGUUCUCGCAUCCUGUUUGUGAUGUGUUAAUGAAGACUGGUGUUCUUCGAUAUUUACAUGCAGUUAGCGACAAUGCCAUCGAAAUCAUGGUUCUCGAA